Molecule: ribosomal RNA, 403 nt
Filed under: uncultured prokaryote
Description: bacterial SSU rRNA
Rfam family: Bacterial small subunit ribosomal RNA
Source: RNAcentral
UGGGGAAUAUUGGGCAAUGGGCGAAAGCCUGACCCAGCAACGCCGCGUGAAGGAUGAAGGCCUUCGGGUUGUAAAGCACUUUUUGAGGGGAUGAGGAAGGACAGUACCCUCAGAAUAAGCCUCGGCUAACUACGUGCCAGCAGCCGCGGUAAUACGUAGGGGGCGAGCGUUGUCCGGAAUGACUGGGCGUAAAGGGCGCGUAGACGGCUGUCUAAGUCUGGAGUGAAAGUCCUGUUUUUAAGGCGGGAAUUGCUUUGGAGACUGGAUGGCUUGAGUGCGGAAGAGGUAAGUGGAAUUCCCAGUGUAGCGGUGAAAUGCGUAGAGAUUGGGAAGAACACCAGUGGCGAAGGCGACUUACUGGGCCGUAACUGACGUUGAAGCGCGAAAGCGUGGGGAGCGAACA